This 522-nucleotide ribosomal RNA is filed under the name Triticum aestivum (bread wheat). RNAcentral describes it as "partial small subunit ribosomal RNA". Lineage: Eukaryota; Viridiplantae; Streptophyta; Magnoliopsida; Poales; Poaceae. The record is from RNAcentral.
AUGUGUGGUUAUCAAGAGGAGUCGCUGUUUCAUUCCCUGGUAACAUGUGAACAUGCGAAGCUAUUCUGGAGAGAGGCAGAGGCUUUCUUUGAACUUAAACUGCCACGGCUGCACCCUGCUACGUGGUCGAGGGACUUACUUGAUCCCAGCUUCAUUGGGAAAGAUAGAGCAGCUAUUAUCAUAUCAGUUAUGUGGAUUAUUUGGUCAAGCAGGAAUAAGUACACUCACGAGGAAGUCAAGUACCAGCCCGGGCGAUCCAUGAUCCUAGUGAAGGAACUCAUUCAAGCCUUGUAUAUCCCUACGGAAGGGGUUGACAAGAGAAAUUGCAGCAAGGAGAAAUGGAAACCGCCGGAAGAAGGGUGGUGCAAGAUCAAUACGGAUGCUUCUGUUAAUGUCAUUACAGGAGCAUCAGCGAUUGGGAUGGUGGCGUGGGACCACGCCGGAGAGAUUAUACUAGCCACAGGCCGCAAGGUACCGGGGGUGACCGACCCUUAUUGCGCUGAGCUGCUGGGUGUCAGAUAA